UCCCUAGUGGCUCAGUUGGUAAAGAAUCUGCCUGCAAUGCAGGAGACCCAGGUUUGAUCCCUGGGUCGGGAA
RNAcentral lists this transfer RNA (72 nucleotides) under Bos taurus (domestic cattle). It matches the Rfam family "tRNA". From Rfam's summary of the family: Transfer RNA (tRNA) molecules are approximately 80 nucleotides in length. Their secondary structure includes four short double-helical elements and three loops (D, anti-codon, and T loops). RNAcentral also lists the same sequence under 5 other names. The record is from Rfam by way of RNAcentral. Lineage: Eukaryota; Metazoa; Chordata; Mammalia; Artiodactyla; Bovidae.